UGCAGGGAGGAGGCUGUCAGAGGCAGGCCAGAGGAGGCAGAUGGAACUUGGGCCAUCCAGACCUGUCCCCACCUGUCCCCUGUGUGCAGAGUUUUUAUUGCCAGAAGGAAAUCCCUAUCCCCAGAAGGAAAGGGACAAACACUGUGCCCGCCUCACAACUCUGGCACUGGCCCUGACUCUAAGGGGUGAGGACACUGAAGAAUCCAGGAUCCCAGCAUACUAGGGGUAUGUGUGAAAUGGGUACCAGGGGGUGUGACCUGCUAAGAAAUGGCAUCAGCACCAAAAACCAGAUGCCCAGAAGAACAGGUGAUAAGAAUGCAGGGCUGCCUGUGACAGGCGUGCCAGCUCCCCAAGGUAACCACAGCUAAGCCAGGACCUUCGGAUACACUCAUGCCCCUGCUCAGCCAGGAAUAGGACAGAUGCAGGCCCAAGUGCACACAGGGAGAGGAGACACAUUCUCUUGACCCAAGAUGGAUCCUCCUCUGUCUGAGAAGCCCGUUCUCUUCAGCUGAGAAGGGAUGUCCUCAAAGGUGUGAGGGGAAGGGGCCUGUCCUGAGCCAGGCAGAGCAGCUGCCACUAUCCGCAACAUCAGCAGCAGGACGCUUUGCAGCCCCAUCUCCCUGGGAGCCGUGGGAGGCAGAGCAGCAGAGGAGCCCAGGACCAGGCUCCCUCCCUCCUCCAAAGCAGAACAUCAGCCCCAGGAAUCCCACUUCAUGGGUUUUGUCUCAUGGGCCGGAUCUCCUGGGUGAAGCCUGUUUUCCCCUGGCCUGGGGGUUGGGUGGGAGGAUUGGGGGAGCCUGAACUCUCAAACUCCUUUGCCCUGGCCUCUGGUCCCACAGCUUUUUGUUGAUUAGCUCAGUAGCUGUAGUUGUUUCCUCGCUAGAUAGGGAGCCCUAAAGGCUGGGAUAGGGUCUACUUAUCCUGCUUCUCUGUGUAGCCUGGUACCAGGAUGGCCCAGGGCUAGAGGGGCCCAGGGAGGACCAGUUGACCAAGGAACCCCACUUGCUGAAGUGGAGAAAUGGGAAAUCAGAGAAGCCCACAGUGAUCUUUCAUGGAGGGAUCUGGAAUGCCAGGGCUGUACUGAAUCAGAGAAUGGGGAGUGGUUGGUGGUUCUCAAGUAGAGGAAUGACAUCGUCAGGCCAGUGUUCAGAGUAUGCAGGUGCAAAUGUCAAGGCUGGAUUGGAAGGGGAGAGACCAGUGAGGAAAUUGUUGGAAUGGUGUAGCCAGAGCUGUUGGAGCCACACAGCGGCCAUGCAUGAAGACGCAGCCUAUUCUGGACGCAGCCUUGAGCCAUGGGAGGCAGAAUGGAUUGGCAGGGACUCAAGUUAAAAGCCCUACCUCUUUGGGGGGUGGGUGCGCUAGAACUUUCAUUAGUCAAGUUGUGGUGGAGAGGGAGGCCACAAUGGUAGACUCAGGAGCUGCCCUGAGCCCACCGUUUCCCACUUCCCUUCUCCCUUGACUCCAGCAUCCUGAAUUGAUACUUGAGGAAAUCUAGCAGCCAGCGGAUUUUUGUCAGUGGCAAAGGGGAAGUUAGGAGCAGCACUCUUCUCUCCAUAGCUCUGCUGGGGCACUUGAGGCACAGGAUGUUCCAGUAACCCUAACCCUAAUGUCUGCCCAGUGCUCCUUGCAUGAGGCAUGGUGCCAAGGACUAUAUAGGUAUUGACUAAUUCAGUCCCUUUAUAAGGCUAUACGGUAGUUGUCACAAAGAUUCCCACUCAUAAACUAGGGACCUCAGGCUGUGAGGGCUUCAGCUAGUCAUAAGACAGACAGAAGGGAUGGGGCUGGGACUGGAGCCCAGGUCAGUGUGACACUGCGGCCGUGCCAUUGGCCGGAGCCUCACUCUUCAGGGAGAGCUCAGGAUCCCUGGAACUGCUUGUUUACGGAGUGGAUUCUCAGAAGCCCUCAGCGCCCGAGAUCCUGAUUCACGUCUGGGCUGGGACUGGGGAAUCUGUUCUCCAUGGCAGCUCAGAAGCAGGGAUCAGACAACCCCAUUCUGAGAUGCCCCGCCUGAUCUCACCCUCCUGGCAAAGCCUGCACAGCAUAUCCCUGCUGAGGACGCCGCUUGAGUAGAGUUGUGUGGGCUCGUAAACCUCCCUCCCUGUGAGGCCAGAGGUGCAUGCACCAUCUCUACUCAGGAAAGGAGUCUCCAGAACCCUUAUGGGGAAAGGGCUUAAUGCUCUAGAGGAAUUCUGGAGAUUCUGUGCUAGACUAAGGAGAAAGCCACUCUUGUCUACGGAGAUUUGCAAAAUCAGAGCAGAGGCGGCCAGCAGCAAAAGGGGACAGUGAGUUGUGGGUCUCUGCAGAGGCAGUGCCUGAAAGGAAGCGAGGGAGAUGAUGGCUCGUUGUCAAGUACGUACCUCAUGCCCUUAAGCCAGGCUGCAUGGCUCACAAGGCGUUUCACCUCUGAGCUGUCACCGGGAAACAGAUCCAACUUUCAAGGAGAGGAUACUGACAAGGCAACAGCGGCUCAGAUGGAAGAACAGUCAAGCUGGAGGGGACCUAUGAGGGAAGUGGCAGUGUCAAGACAUGUCUCUUCCCUGUCCCUAGCAGCAUGUGGCUCUGAGUGCUCUCCUGGUUUUUAUUCUGGGCUCAUCCUCUGACUUUUCUGGGAAGCACCCCCUGGUUGCUCCAGCCCACAUGGUUUUUCUCUAUCAAUUUCCCCAAUUCAGACAACUCACUGCUACUCCCUGUGUGCAGAAGCCUUGUGACACCUCUGGAAAUGUUGUAUGUGGUGAUUCCUUUCCUAGCUACAUAAACAGAGGCAAAGAACUUGACUUUGGUGAGUUUCAGUAACUAUAAAAUGGGUAUCAUGACGUGUAGGUUAUAGAGUUGUUAUGAAGACUAAGCAAAAUGGCCUGUGCUUGGGGAGGAAAGUGGGACCCUCCAUGUUAGUUCUCCUCCAACCUUCUCUCCCAGCCAUUCUGCACAUCUUUGUGCUUUUCUGAUCUUCCCCACAAGCCCUGUCUAUAGCAGCUGCUCAAAUGUUUGGAGUCUGACAGUCUUAACCCAGAGCAAUUCACUCUAGUGAGAUCAGGGAUUCUGAGCAGACCUGUUCCAGGAGACUCCUCCACUUUGUUGCUGGAUUGGAGGCACAAGCAAAGGAAUAAUGGAGUGUCUGCCCAAUCUGAUCUCUCACCGUGAAGUCUUGUGGUGACCGUGGCCCCUGGUUCAAGGUGAGCUUAAGGGAAUGUAUAGUUUUCAAGCUUUCCUUUGGCUGUUAGAGCACAAAUGGAUUCCUAACACCCCAGUCCAGUAGCCAACCCAGGAAACACCUGUGUACAGAAUACAAAUACCAAUAUGAUUUUAUUCAAACACAGGCAGGAACAAGGACCUUCAGAGCUGGGUAAAAACAAUAAGUUAAAAGCAUGGUUAGAAUUUCAGAUAAUCAAAAAAAGUCCAAAGGAGGUGAUUUCCCCCCCCUCCUUUUCUAUUGAUUAAUUCAACACAGCAUAAAAAUAAUUUAUAUCUAUAAAAUACCCUUAUUUCUAAGCAAAUCAGCGGAGGUGGCCCAAGGAUUUCCUCAGCUAUGCACAACACAAUCUCCACCCCCACCUCUACCCCACCCAAACUUUAAGUCAAAAAUGGCCCAUGAUAUUCAGGCAGAAGGUGGGCUCAUGUCAGCAGUAGGCUAUCAAGGACAUUGGAAGGAGUUUCUCAGCCGAGAGAUGCCUGCUUGGGUCCCUUGGUCAAAAGAUGGGUGGUUCCACUUGGGUACUGGAGUCCAUUUUGUUUAGAAGGAAGAAGCUGAAAUCCUAGCAGGUGUACUUUGGACUGGUUUGGGACAUUCCUCCAGGCUGCACUGGAUGGGGUCCCAAGGCACCCAUGGACUAGGCUGGUGGUAGUUUCAGGGCUCUCAUGGCCUUGAAGGAAGCAGACCUUGUGUCUCAUGUGAGCCGGACAAGGCCAAAGAAAGGUGGGAGGAGGAUCCUUCCCUUUGUCUUUCAGUCUGUAUUAGUCUUUCUGGGAGUACUGGGAAGAAAAUAUCCGUGCGAUCCUGCGAGUUUCCUCCUCAGGCAAGUUGGGAGGCAGCGAGUUGGGUCUGGGACGACAAGGCCUUCUGGACAAGACUCUGCUGGAGGCCUCACUCCUGUCCUGAAAGAAGAAGUCAGCUAGGUGAGGAUAUGGCACCUCCAAGAAAUGACUUUGGUUCCUCUCAUAUAUUGGUUCUCUGGCUAAUAUUGAUAUAGAGCUGACUGGUUUACAAAGCACUUUAUGGACCUGACCUUGUUUAACCCUCAUCUCAACCUCACGGGUGGGCACGUUGUUCCUACGUCAUGGACAGGAAACUAGAGUUCAGGUUUAAAUAAACUCAAGGUCCCACAGCAUGGCAUGGCAGAGCCGGGAUGUGAACCCUAGCUGAGACUCUGUGUGCCUGUGGAGGAGGAGCAGUCCCCUCUGGGACAGGACUAAAGCCUCAUCCCUUCUCUUGCUGCAUGAAUAUGGGUCUACUAUGAAGGUGAAAUGAAAUUCAUAUGUGACCAAGGGUCUGGUCAGCUACAUCUUGUGAAACACCUGCUACAGAGAGGACUUGCUGUUCUCAGACCUCACGCCAGGCAGAGCAGAAGUAAGGGAAGUUGAUAAAACUAAUUUACCCACAAGCAGCAAAGCAAACAGAAUCAGACGUAACUUUCAAUAAAACCAGGAAGCUGUCCCAGCGAAGAGGUCCUUGAUCAUGGGAGGAAAAAGGAAGAAUUCCUCCUUGCCCAGCAACAACGUAGCCAAGGUGAACUCAGCAGAAAAGUCCCUCCCAGGUUCCUCCCUUCACCCUGUAAAAGUUAGCAGAAUCAACCUAAGAACUAAAACACUGCUAAUAUUGUUGUAUAGACCUGUGUUCUUCCUCCCCUAUCCUACCCCUGCCUCCACAAUCAUGAACAUUGUGGUCAAAUGUUAAAAAGGUCACAUUACCAUUCUGGGCAACAGUAAGAAUGACGCCUGCUUCUCAUCAGAAACAAUGUAAGUCAGAGUGCGGAAUGAUUGCUCUAAAAUGCUAAAACAAAAUUCAAGUUGGAAUUCUAUAGCCAGUGGGAAAGAAUAUUCUUGAAAAAUGAAGGCAAAAUAAAGAUAUUUUCAGACAACUGAAGCUGUUGCCAGUAGGUCUGCAGUACAUGAAAUUCUAAAGGAAGUUCUUUGUGCUAAAAGGAAAUGAUCCUGGCCAGAAAUCAGGAUGUGAAGAAGGAAUGGAGAACACCAGCAAGUAUGUUGGCAAAUAUGAACGUCUGGUUUUUGUCUUAAAUUCUUCAAAGAGGUUACUCUGAAGACCUUCCGACACCAUAAGCUGAGAUUAUGGGGCUCCUGCCCAAGUAUAAUUCAUAAUUAGAUCUAAAAUAAACCA
Long non-coding RNA from Mustela erminea (ermine), 5332 nucleotides. RefSeq lists it as uncharacterized. The record is from RefSeq and is a predicted model, not a curated record. The transcript has 7 exons. NCBI's taxonomy places the organism in Eukaryota, Metazoa, Chordata, Mammalia, Carnivora, Mustelidae.